Molecule: ribosomal RNA, 279 nt
Filed under: uncultured Staphylococcus sp.
Lineage: Bacteria; Bacillati; Bacillota; Bacilli; Caryophanales; Staphylococcaceae
Description: partial 16S ribosomal RNA
Rfam family: Bacterial small subunit ribosomal RNA
Source: RNAcentral
CCUUUGACGUUAGCGGCGGACGGGUGAGUAACACGUGGGUAACCUACCUAUAAGACUGGGAUAACUUCGGGAAACCGGAGCUAAUACCGGAUAAUAUUUCGAACCGCAUGGUUCGAUAGUGAAAGGUGGUUUUGCUAUCACUUAUAGAUGGACCCGCGCCGUAUUAGCUAGUUGGUAAGGUAACGGCUUACCAAGGCGACGAUACGUAGCCGACCUGAGAGGGUGAUCGGCCACACUGGAACUGAGACACGGUCCAGACUCCUACGGGAGGCAGCAGGG